Molecule: ribosomal RNA, 446 nt
Filed under: uncultured bacterium
Lineage: Bacteria
Description: bacterial SSU rRNA
Rfam family: Bacterial small subunit ribosomal RNA
Source: RNAcentral
UCCAGACUCCUACGGGAGGCAGCAGUGGGGGAUAUUGCACAAUGGGGGAAACCCUGAUGCAGCGACGCCGCGUGAGUGAAGAAGUAUUUCGGUAUGUAAAGCUCUAUCAGCAGGGAAGAAAAAAGACGGUACCUGACUAAGAAGCCCCGGCUAACUACGUGCCAGCAGCCGCGGUAAUACGUAGGGGGCAAGCGUUAUCCGGAUUUACUAGGUGUAAAGGGAGCGUAGACGGCAAUACAAGUCGGAAGUGAAAUACCCGGGCUCAACCUGGGAACUGCUUUGGAAACUGUAUGGCUGGAGUGCUGGAGAGGUAAGCGGAAUUCCUAGUGUAGCGGUGAAAUGCGUAGAUAUUAGGAGGAACACCAGUGGCGAAGGCGGCUUACUGGACAGUAACUGACGUUGAGGCUCGAAAGCGUGGGGAGCAAACAGGAUUAGAUACCCCAGUA